AUCAAAAUAACCAAAGAUUUCAACAUUGACAUCAAUUUUUUUUUAAUUUAAAGAAUAUAUAGAGGCAUAUAUGAAUGAAAUGAGAUGAAAUAAAUUGACUGCAUUUCCCGACACUCACAAACUUGUUUUACGAACUUGAAAAAAACAAUGAUCUUAAAAACGAUCAAACACAGGGGUUUGUUACAAUUUGCCGGGCUUACUAUCCAUAUACGAACCCCGAAAUUGAGCAAGUCUUUGAAGUAUUAAUUAUCACCUAUUCCAUCUAAUAAUUGUUUAGUCAGCAGUAGUGAAUUUUACCAUUUGAAAAUAAUUGAGAGGAUAUGAUUAGAAAAACAAACCCCAAGCUGAUACGACAUGAGAAAUUCACUUUCUCCAUGUCCAGCUUGGAUGAAGCCAUUUGAAUAUUAUAAAACGUUAAGUUCAGAAAAAUGAGAAAUCAUUAUGCUUCAUUAAAAUAUCAAUUCCUGUCAAACGUUGUAAGGUUAACUGUACACUCUACAGUGGGAUACAAAACCAAACACAGAAGCUGACAAUGACUUUAUUGUUGGUCUUACAUGUUCUGCAACAUCACCUGUUAUAGUGCUAAGAAAUCUUCACAUAGGCAGUCUGGUACUAUAGACCAAUCACGGAAAAAGACUUCUCUCCUGGUUUUUUUUUUUGAUACACAGAUAGUAUGAGGAUUAUAUGAAUUUACAAUGGAAAAAUAAAGACUUCUUCUAUAUCCAGACAAUAACAUUAGCAGCAACCA
Molecule: long non-coding RNA, 748 nt
Filed under: Mytilus galloprovincialis (Mediterranean mussel)
Lineage: Eukaryota; Metazoa; Mollusca; Bivalvia; Mytilida; Mytilidae
Source: RNAcentral